ACGUGGCCAAGUGGUAAGGCAGCAGGUUUUGAUCCCAUUACUCGGAGGUUCCAAUCCUUUCGU
RNAcentral lists this transfer RNA (63 nucleotides) under Zea mays. It matches the Rfam family "tRNA", at positions 5 to 66 of the family's 71-position model. Rfam says of the family: Transfer RNA (tRNA) molecules are approximately 80 nucleotides in length. Their secondary structure includes four short double-helical elements and three loops (D, anti-codon, and T loops). The record is from Rfam by way of RNAcentral. Lineage: Eukaryota; Viridiplantae; Streptophyta; Magnoliopsida; Poales; Poaceae.